Molecule: ribosomal RNA, 253 nt
Filed under: uncultured bacterium
Lineage: Bacteria
Description: partial 16S ribosomal RNA
Rfam family: Bacterial small subunit ribosomal RNA
Source: RNAcentral
UACGUAGGUGACAAGCGUUGUCCGGAUUUACUGGGCGUAAAGAGCGCGCAGGCGGUCGAUCAAGUCGAGUGUGAAAGCCCCCGGCUCAACUGGGGAGGGUCAUUCGAAACUGGUCGACUCGAAGGCAGGAGAGGGUAGUGGAAUUCCCGGUGUAGUGGUGAAAUGCGCAGAUAUCGGGAGGAACACCUAUGGCGAAGGCAGCUCGCUGGGACGUUACUGACGCUGAGACGCGAAAGCGUGGGGAGCAAACAGG